RNAcentral lists this ribosomal RNA (253 nucleotides) under uncultured bacterium. RNAcentral describes it as "partial 16S ribosomal RNA". It matches the Rfam family "Bacterial small subunit ribosomal RNA", at positions 524 to 776 of the family's 1533-position model. The record is from RNAcentral.
UACGGAGGGUGCAAGCGUUAAUCGGAAUUACUGGGCGUAAAGCGUGCGCAGGCGGUUUGUUAAGUCCGUUGUGAAAGCCCCGAGCUCAACUUGGGAAUUGCAGUGGAUACUGGCAGGCUGGAGUACGGUAGAGGAAGGUGGAAUUCCCGGUGUAGAAGUGAAAUGCGUAGAUAUCGGGAGGAACACCAGUGGCGAAGGCGGCCUUCUGGACCAGUACUGACGCUCAUGCACGAAAGCGUGGGGAGCAAACAGG